RNAcentral lists this ribosomal RNA (251 nucleotides) under uncultured prokaryote. RNAcentral describes it as "partial 16S rRNA". It matches the Rfam family "Bacterial small subunit ribosomal RNA", at positions 525 to 775 of the family's 1533-position model. The record is from RNAcentral.
ACGGAGGAUGCAAGCGUUGUCCGGAAUUAUUGGGCGUAAAGAGUUCGUAGGCGGCAUAUCAAGUCUGGUGUUAAAGCCCGAGGCUUAACCUCGGUCAGGCGCUGGAAACUGAUAAGCUAGAGCAUAGUAGAGGCAAGGGGAAUUCCCAGUGUAGCGGUGAAAUGCGUAGAUAUUGGGAGGAACACCAGUGGCGUAAGCGCCUUGCUGGGCUAGUGCUGACGCUGAGGAACGAAAGCCAGGGUAGCGAAUGG